This 10386-nucleotide long non-coding RNA is filed under the name Medicago truncatula (barrel medic). RNAcentral's name for it is "lncRNA gene10466". The record is from RNAcentral. Lineage: Eukaryota; Viridiplantae; Streptophyta; Magnoliopsida; Fabales; Fabaceae.
GGAAGAAAACGUAUAGAGUGUCAUUUGUAAAUUGUUGUUACUAGAGAAACCUUACUUUAAUACAUAUAGUAGAUAGAUAAUAGAUUAUUUUCUUAGAGUACAAAAGCCAUAACAACAAGUGAAAAGAAAAGUAAACAUAAAAUCCAUUUAUUUGAUAUCACCGCAAUAACUAAAUGACAAUAGACAUAGAUCAUUUUGUUGAAGCUGUUGUUAAGAGUCCCACAUCGGUUAGGAGUUGGUCUGAUAAUUUGUUUAUAAGUGGGGGCAAUCCUCACUUCACAAGUCAGUUUUGUGGGGUUGUGUAGGUCCAACCAAGACGCAUCAUGCAUACACACCUAGAAUUAAGACAAAUUCCUCGGCAAUUAUCGCACUCUGGAUGCUUACAUUCGGCAUCACUAAUACAUUCACCUAAUUUAUGAAAAAGAAGAAUAAAUUAAAUUUGUUAAACGAAAAAUAAGAAUAAAUAUUGUUAAAACAAGAAAAAUAUUGUGUAUAAGUCGUGUUGAUUUGAAACCUCGUAAAAUAGGUAUUGGUUUGGAACCUGGGAGUGGCAUGUUUCUCAGGGUCUCAUGUGUGAUUCUUCCUGAUGUCAAUUUAAGUAGGUUAAUUUAGCUUGUUCAAAAAAUAUUGUGUAUAAACAACAACUUAAAAAAGAACAAUUGAAGGGUAAAAAAAUUGUUUACCGUCAACUUUGGUUGGAAUUACAAAUAGGAAAAUAAAUAGAAACAUUGUAUAAAUGAACUUAAUGAUAGCCAUAUAUUUCCCCUCUUUUUAUGUAACACACAGGACAGGUUAUUUUUCUUGUUGCAUAAUAGAACAAGAUUUGGUCAUUUUAUAGUGGGUAAAAAUCCUAAUGAUAUACGAAUAUUAUUGUCUCUUCAAUUAAUCAAUUUGUUGUUUGUCUCUUCAUCACCUUAGUAAGUAGGUCACGUAAACCAUUGUCCGAUUAUUAUUUUUAACAAAGUUUAAUUUGUUUUUAACCUUGCAUAAUUGGAAAGGGGGGAAUUGUUGGAGGGGAAUGAUGGAUGGUGCGAAUGCAUUGCAACAAAUAUCGACGAAAAGCAUUGAAAUACCGUGUUUGUAAUAAAUUGUUUUUUUUAACAAGCAAAAAUAGAUUAUAUUAACACUGCCAUAGCAAUCUUCACAGCACAAGAUGUACCGAAAAGACUACUAUAAAAGAUACAAGUUGUUCUAAAUAAUUACAAGAAGUGGUUAACCAAUGCCUAAACACGACAUGGGGCUCGACCACCACAAAUGACCACCAAACAUAAAAACAACCUUAUGUGCUUUCAACCACUAUAAUGAAUAGUAUUUUACUUUAUCUAAUAAUUGAUCAAUAGAAUUUUCUUUUUGUUGAAAAAUCCGAUGAUUUCUUUCAUUCCAUAUAACCCACGUCGUGAGUAACCGAAUAAGUUGUAGAAAGGAUCUCCGGGAUUUCAAUCCACCUGUAUAAUGUGAAAACUGAGCACAAUGAUUUAAAAUAUCACAAUGAUCAGCCCCAUCAAAGCCAAUCCAAGACCUCACUAAAGGCCAUAAAGAACCAAAGUAGCUGCAAGACAAAAAUAGAUGUCGUGCAUCUUCCAACAUGCCGCAACCUGAUACACAUAAACACGCCUGAAAAUCCAAAAUACCACGGGUUGCUAAGUUAGACUUAGUGGGAAAUCGAUCACGAAGCAACCGCCAAGCAAAAAUAGACACCUUAAUCGGAACAUGGUUAUGCCAAACCAAAUCGUCCCAAAGCAUAUCCUGCGGAAUCUCCUGAUUAGUGAGCAUAUCAUACACACCGCGAACCGAGUACCUAUUGACGGGAUCCGGUUGCCACUGCCACACAUCAUAAGAAAGAGGCUGCAAAGAAACAUUAGUAAGUAACAACCUACACUCCUCUAAAAGCUCCUCCUCCCACACCCACAAAGCCCUACGCGACUGCCACCCAUCACCUGUCGUCCCCCAACCAAGAGAAAACAUAUCUUUAACAGUUAUUGAUUUAUUCAACGCUAAACCAAACAAUCUGCUAAAUCGAAUCGGGAAAGGGACAUCACCACACCAACGAUCAUGCCAAAACAAAGUACCCUCACCAUCACCCACACGCCUAACCACACAACCCUCAAACCAGCCAUCACCGCCUCCACUGAUCCCAUCCCUAAUCCUACGAACCUCCAUCCACCAAAUAGAACCACUCCGGCCCCCAUCCUCCAACCUCCCAUCACGCACACCAUACCUAGCAACCAACACCUGAUACCAUAACCCUCUUCUAUCAACUAAUAAUCUCCGACACCAUUUCCCCAACAAUGCCUCAUUGAACUCUCGCAACUGCCUAACUCCUAACCCCCCGUACUCCUUUUUUAUAUGCAUAAUAUAUUUAAACAACUUUUUUAGUAAUAUAUCAUUAUCAUUUAACAAAAUACUCGAGAUUAUAAACACUAUAUUAUUAUAUAUAUUAGAAAAAUUAAAGACUUUUUAAUAUCUAGAAAUUAAAAUUGUUAUUUAUGUGUCUUUAUAUUCAAAAAGUAUGGAAGAAAUAAUUCAAAAUUUUAUUUCAAAUACAAAGACACAUUUAGGAUCAUGUGACACAUUUAAUUCUUAUAAAAUUAAUGUUAUAAACUCUUUUUAUAAGAUAGUUUUCUAUUUAAUAUAGGGGCAAUAUAUUAUUUUAAGAGGGAACAAUGAUUAAAAUACAAAGUAUUUAACAAGUAUAACAUGAUACUAGUCGGGAGAGUUGCCCCCAAUUUAAUAUAAGUAGAUAUGUCACUGCCUGCACACAGCCUUGGUAUCAUGACGAGAAGCAAUUUUAAUGCUCGUGAGAUAACUCACUCCCGGAACCUUCAUGGUCAGAGCCGUUCUUAAAAUUUUACAGGUCGUUGGCAUAAUAUGAGAAAAGGACCCCUUAUAUAAUAAAUCAUAAAUUUUUUUAGUUUAUUGUUGUGUUUUUUUAGGUCUUUAUUUUGUUUUUUUCUUUUCACUUUUCACUACGAGAUAAAUGUUUUUUAGACAACAUCUGAAAAUAAAUCAAAUACUUCAUAAACAUUAAAACAAAAUAAAAUAUCAUAGAAGUAGAGAACAAUAGCACCUGCAAAGUAAAUUGAAAUUUUAGCACCUAAGAAUAAUAACACCAAAAAACUUUACAUUACUAUAUGUAUAUCAUGAUCAAAAUGUGUCUCACAUCGGUUUCAUGACCAUGAAUAUACCUCGCAUGAUUUUACAUUACCUAAGACUACUUUACAAAGCCCAAAAGUUACUCAGAAGGCUGACCUCAUUUCCGCACCUCCUGAGGAAUGUUGAUUCUCCUAUACAAAUUGAAUGCGAAGUCUUCACACUCAAUCAUUGCUUCAUCAAAUAUUCUUUUAGAGAGGUCCAUAUCAUCAACGGUGUGAGCAUAGUGACCGAAUGUCCGUUAUAGUUCUCUAGCUGCCUUUUUGUUAUGGUUUUGAGGAUGUUCAUGGUAAUGUUUUAUUCUAGGUAGUUAAUAGAAAACUGGUUAGUUAUGUUAAAAGUACCCUAGCUAAUAUAUGUCUAAUCAUCUACAAUAGCUAGCUACUCUUAAGUUUAGGUAUUUCUUUUUUUCGAAGGGAAGUUUAGGUAUUUCUUACUAUUAAAGUUUUCUGAUGACUUUAUGUUUUUAAAACACUAACUUUAGGGUCUUCACAUCAGCUUCUGAUAAAUUUCAGAUUCUCGGUGAUCUUCAGACUCUAAUUUGCAACUUGACUUUUGUCCUUUCAUAAUCAAAACUUUGUUUUAAAACAUGUCAAUUUAGUCUAUGGUCCCGCAAAAACUUUAGCAAAUGGUCCCACACUUGAAUAAAUAUUAGAAUAUCCAAUUGAAACUUUAAUACUUUGUUCCAACACAAACCUCCACCGUAACCGUUUUCUAUUACGCGCUCCUCCACCAUAACCAUUCUUAGUUACAUGUUCCUCCACCGCAACGGUUGACAGUUACUGCUCCAUCUACUGAAGUAAUAGUUGGAACUCAUAUGAGAACCAUCGAUAACAAUAGAUGACGCCGCUUCCGUUCCCACAAAAUUUCGCAAAGGUGGUGGAAAACCUCCUGACUAUUACGAUAGUGGAAGUAGUGGUUCGAGGUAAACCGUUAGGCCUCCAUGGAGUGAAAGACUCUCCCCCACGCCAAAUCCAUCAAAGGAAGAAGGAUUACUCUCCAGAGCUCCAUCACAAGAUCCACCGCAAGAGUCCCAUCACCAGAAAUAUAAAGGAGUAUCCUAUCCCUCACGUUUUUUAAAAACUGCCUAAGUUGGAGACUUACAAUGGCAUCACGGAUCUUGAUGAACAUGUAGAGAACAUAGAUAGCGUCCUCGAUUACCAUCAGAAACGAGGAGCGGUGAAAUGAAAAUUGUUCAUGUUGACGUUGAGGGGCGCCGCCAUGACCUGGUUCAAGGGGCUGGAGCAUAAUUUUAUCAACUCCUAGAGAUAACUACACGACGAACUCGCCUCUCACUUCAUUGCGAGACAGGAGAAACCAAAAACCACGACCGCACUGAAGAAAGAAACCCUCGGGGGUACGUCGAGCAAUUCACACGUGCUGGCGUAGAUUUAAUGGCGCGCAAGACAACUUGAAAUGUUUUAUUUUCGAAAACAACCUCAGUGAUGAUUGUAAGUUUAAGGAAGGGAUGUAACUUAGAUCUUCAAAGGAUAUGAGCGACCUAUUAACCCGCGUUCAACCAUACAUCAAGUACUAAAAGAAGAGGUUGGCGGAAGAGGCAUAUAAAAAUAAGCAGUCAUGCAAGAACAACGACGAAAAACGACAUUUUUUGGGGAAGUUGUGGAGAAAUUUUUACUCAAUGUUGUGAGUGGCUUUGGACAGGUACCUUUCCCAAAUAUGACUAAUAUUGCUCUUAUUUUGAAAGGAGACUACCAAGUCGCAAUGAAUGAUUGAAGACAUAUUGCUUUGUGUAAUGUUGUUUAUAAUAUUGUUGCCAAAGUUUUAGCAAACCUGUUGAAAUUAGUAUUGGAUAAAUGCAUCUCAGAUAGUCAAUCAACUUUUCUUUCUGGGAGGUCUAUCUUAGAUAAUGCGAUGACUGCUAUUGAAAUAAUUCACUAAAUGAAAUCAAAGGUUAAAGGUAGAAAAGGGGAUGUUGCUUUAAAACUUGAUAUUAGCAAUGCUUUUUUUUUUACAAAAGCAAAAUUAACUAUUAUCAUUAAUUAACCAAUGUUCAAUACAAGAAGGAUAAGAAUAAUAAAUAUGGUGACUAGCCCAAGAAUAAGCCGCCCUAGCUAAAGCAUGAGCAACCAUGUUCGCUUGUCUGCUAACAAAAUUCACCUCGAAGUUGGAAUGUAAAGAUAACUGAUAAAUAAUACUAGAAACAAUAGCAUAGUGUUCUGAAUCACCAUGACCUAGAGACGAUAGAGCUUGCACUAGAGUAGCUGAGUCGGACUUGAAGACAACCCGGUCCCAUUUGUUCCCAUCAACAAAGUGAAUGGCAUCGAGUAAGGCUACUGCCUCCCCCUCCAAAACUGUCAUGUUUUCCCGCUGCCAUUUUGUUUGAGCCCGAAUAAGUUGCCCAUGGGAGUCUCUAACACAACACGAAAAAGAUGUAAUAUGGUUACGAUCGUGAAAUGCGGCAUCCACAUUGCACUUCAACCAUGUCUCGUGCGGUUUCUCCCAAACUGAGUUGUUAGUUGUUACCUUGCACUCUAUGUUUCCCGUGUUGCAUAGCCGGUGGUGAGUGUUGUUUAUGAACCUCCUGCCAUUGUUGCCAUGAAUCUAGUGAUGUCCUACCAAUACUUGUUGAAGUAUGAUGAUCGUCAUUCCAAAUAACAUCAUUACGUGCAGCCCAAAUUUGCCAAAGAAGUAAAGCCACCCGACCAGCAAUGUCUCGACUUUCAGAACAACAUAUGUCAAAGACAAAAUUUGCCAAACUGCUCAAAGUGCCAACUCGCGCUUGCAGCACGGUCGAAAGCCCUGCCCAAUACCAACACUCAUGCGCCACCAUAUAACCCACAAAAAUAUGUUAAUCAUCCUCAACAGCUCUAUCACACCAGGGAAAGAUCACCUCACAUUGUACAUGUCGUGAUUGUAGUCGGAGACGCGUUGGAACACACCCCCUGCAAAUCCUCCAUAACAAAUUACAUGCUUUAUGAGGGGAAUUUACCUUCCAUAUUCUAUGCCACUCUCCUUCAACAUGGAAUCGAUCAGUAUGUAACAACUCCAUCAUAGCCAAUUUAUAACCAGUUUUAAUAGCAUACCUCCCAUUACGUUCCAUCAUCCACACUAUUUUAUCAUUCUGAACUUCCGCAAACAGUGGGGUGUCGAGAAUAGGUUGCACCAUAUCAUCUGGAAACAAAGAUUCAAGCUUAUCAAUAUCCCAAACCCGUUCCUCGUCAACUAUCAAAUAAGACACACACAAACUAUGCAAAACUUGGAUUUGUGGGGAUUGAAUCCAGCUACCAUGAACACCUCGAACCCAUGGAUCAUUCAUCACGCUCACACGAAUUCCAAAUAUUCUGCCAAGCAAAGCUCGGGUUAUAUCCGAGUUUAGAACCCAAAAAUGAAGAAUGGGGAAAGUAGCUCGAUUUAAAGACUCUAUUAACCAGAGAUUAAAGUUUAGACAGAAAGCUCCACCCUUUCUUAGCUACCAUAGAGAUAUUAAAAGCUUUGAAAUUUUGAAAUCCCAUUCCACCAAAUUCUUUAGGGCAUGCCACGCGUUCCCAUGCCAUCCAUUUAAUCCCUCGGUUGUUACUCCUUCCUCCCCACCAAAACGCAUUGAUCAUCUUCUCAAUAUCAUCUAUAAUUGAAUUCGGCAGAAGAUAAAUACUCAUUAUGUAUGAAGGAAUAGAUUGUAACACAGAUUUGAUCAUAACUUCCUUGCUCGCCUUCGAUAAUGCCUGUCCCCUCCAAGCAUUUAUUCGUUUCCAGAUAUCAUCCUUGAUAAAAGAAAAAACUGACCUCUUAUCUCUACCAAUCAUCGAAGGUAAUCCCAUAUACUUGCUGGUACCCAUGACAUGUCGGACACCAAUAAUGCGUGUCAAAUCCUCCUACGUCGCCCCACUCAUAUUGCGAUUGAAAAACACAUCCGACUUUGAUAAGUUAAUUUCUUGUCCAGAUGCUGCCUCGUAAAUUUUAAGAAUAGUAAGUAAACAUUGUGCCUCCACCACAUUAACCCGGCAAAACAAGAAAUAAUCGUCUGCAAACAACAUAUGGGACACCACAGGUGCGCCGCGACAUACUUGUACCCCAUGAAUAUCACCUAUAUGAACUGCCUUAUGUAUUAGAGUCGAUAGGCCCUCAACCACCAAUAUGAAUAAAUAUGGUGAUAACGGAUCACAUUAACGCAACCCUCAGCCGGGUACAAUAGGUCCCACCCUAUCAAAGUUCAUAAGCACCGAAUAAGUAACAGAACUAACACACAUCAUCCACUAGAUCCAUUUCUCAUUGAACCCCAUUCUCAUAAGCACACCACGAAGAAACCCCCAAUCCACUCUAUCAUAAGCCUUGCUAAUGAUAUUAGAAAAACUUAUGACAUGAUUGAUUGGAGUUACCUUCGAGGGGUUAUGACAAAGAUGGGGCUUUCUUAUCGAUGGGUUAAAUGGAUUAUGAUGUGUGUUGAAACGGUGGAUUACUUUGUUCUUGUUAAUGGUAAUGCCACAAGUCAAAUCAUCCCAGGAAGAGGUUUAAUACAUGGAGACCAAUUAUCCAUAUAUUUGUUUAUUAUUUGUGCUGAAGGUCUUUCGCUUAUUCGAAAAGCUCAAGCGAGGGGUGAAAUCAAUGGUGUGAAAAAUUGUAAUAAUGCUCCAAUUAUAUCUCAACACUUAUUUGCUGAUAAUUGUUUCCUCUUUUUGAGAGCCAAUGUGGACCAAGCAAUUAAAAUGUGAGCCACUUUAUUUACCUAUGAGAGAGCUUCUGGUCAGACAGCGAGCCUCCAAAAUCAGAGAUUUUUUGUAGUAGAAAUGUUAUAACUACAUAUCAUAAUAAUAUUGCAAGCAUUUUGGACAUGCAUGCAGUUCUAGUUACUAACAAAUAUUUGGGGCUCCCUUAUACGAAAGGCAGGAGCAAAAAAUCAACUUUCAACUUUAUUAAAGAUAGAAUUUGGAAGAAGAUAAACUCAUGGAGUAGUAAAAAUCUUUCAAAAUCCAAUAGUGAAGUUCUCAUUAAAUUUGUGCUUCAAUCUACCCCUACCUAUUGUAUGUGUUUUUUUCACUUCCCAUGUCUCUCUUCAAUCUAGAUAUGUUAGGAAAACAGGGCUGAAGACUUAUGACAAAUCAUGAUUAGUUUGUAGCUAGACUUUACAUGGCCAGAUAUUAUCCUAUGUGCAAUUUCUUUGAGUCGACUUUAGGACAUAAGCCUAGCUUUUUAUGGCGAAUUAUACGUAAUUAUAAAUUUAUUCUCAAAGUUGGAAUCAGAUGGAGGAUAGGUGAUGAUGAUGAUAUCUCGGUUUGGUAUAACAAGUGGAUUGCAACUGAUGUUACACUUAUCCCACAUGUUGAUGGAGAUUUUUCUCUAGCUGAUCUAAGAGUCUAGGAUUGCAUGCUACAUGAACGCAAGGACUGGAAUCUACCUUUCUGGCAGUCAAUUUUUUUUAUCACCAGCUAGUUGAACAUAUAGUGAACACACCGCUCUACCCAUCAGUAACAGAAGAUCGACUCAUCUGAAAAAAAGAAAAUCAUGGCGAAUACUCUUUUCGUAGUGCAUACCGUUUUUGUGUGCAAGAAUUACUUGAUACAUUCCAUUUCAAGGUACAAGGGUCUUGGAAUCUAAUUUUGAAGCUCAGGAUUCCUCCAAAGGUAAAAAAAUUUAUGUGGCGAAUUUGUAGAAAUUGCUUACCAACUUGUGUACGUUUAAAAGAUAAAGGAGUCACAUGCUUUAUGAAUUGUACAUUGUGUACGGUGGGCAAUGAAGAUACACUUCAUUUAUUUUUUCAAUGUCCAAGUAGCUUAAAUGUUUUGAGCAUGCCUCCUUUCUUUUCUUUUAUUUCUAUUUUGCUACAACAAGAUACGGAUAGGAAGAAUACUAUGUUCAAAGCAUUACAAGAUUUAUCUAAGGACGAUACGACUUUAUUUUGUUGUGUGUUGUAGAGUAUCUGGAAAUAGAGAAACAACAAAGUGUGGAAUGAGGUAGUUGAUGCUCAAGUUUAUGUUGUCGAGAGAGUAAAAGUUAUGCUUCAUGAUUGGCAAGAUGCACGUUGGAUUUUUAAUACAUCUUGUGCACAACCGCGACAAGAAGGAAAUGUGAAAUGGAUCAAACCAGCUGAUUAGAGUGGGAAUAUGAGUUUGUAUAAGGGAUGAUACAUGCACUUUUGUUUUGGCAAAAACUGAAUGAUUUACUCCAGUUUGUGAGCUACAUGUUGGUGAAGAUCUUGGAUUGUUAUCAGCUUUAGAAUGAGUUCAUCACUUACACUUAGGACCUAUCGAUUUUGAGCUUGAUGCGAAAAAAGUGGUGGAUAGUUUUUCAUCUGCACAUCAGGAUGUUACAGAAUUUGGGAUGAUUAUCCAUAAUUGUAAAACUAUCUUUGAACAAUACUAUGUCAACUCUAGUGUUGAGUUUGUGAGGAGACAAACAAAUGAGGUAGCCCAUAGAUUAGCUAAGACGACCACAUCCUCAACUAGUAUCCAGAUUUUGAUAGAAACACUAGAUUGUAUUGAACACAUUUUAAGUAAUGAAAUGAUAUAAACUUCUUUCACUAAAAAACCAAUUGGAGGAAAGUUUAAUGUAUAAUAGAAUGAUAUUUGUAAAUUAUUGUAAUUAGAAAAACCUUACUUUAAUACAUCUAGUAUAUAUUGUAGAUUAUUGUCUAGUACAAAAGCCAUAAAGGUAACGGAAAAGAAAAGUAAAUAUAAAUCCAUUUAUUUGAUAUCACCGCAAUAACUAAAUGACAAUAGCCAUAGAUAGAUCUUUUUGCUAGUGCAAAAACUUAUUCAUCCAUAUAAAGUGUUUGUUGAAGCUAGUACUCAUAAAACCAGAGGCAUCAUAAGGGGCAUUGACACUCAAAACCAACACAUCGUUUAUUACAACCAGGACUGCACACCUCGUCCACACAAUCGGCAUCACGAACACAUUUACCAAAUCCUCCUUCAAAAGAAAAAAUAUAAAUUAGAUUUGUUAAACGAAAAAGAAGAAUAAAUAUUGUUAAAACAAGAAAAAAUAUUGGGUAAAAGUGGUAUUGAUUUGGGACCUGAGACUGUACUCCUUGUUGAGGGAUCAUGUGUGAUUCUCCCUAGUAUCAAUUUAGGUGGGUUAAUUUAACUUCAUCAGAAAAAGAAAAAAAAAUUGUGUAUAAAUAACAACUUAAAAAAGAACAAUUGAAGGGUAAGAAAAUUGUUUACCGUCAACUUUGGUUGGAACUACAAAUAGUAAAAUAAAUAGAAACAUUGUAUAAAUAAACUUAAUGAUAGCCAUAUAUAUCCCCUCUUUUUAUGUAACACACAGGACAAGUUAUUUUUC